Molecule: long non-coding RNA, 847 nt
Filed under: Salvia miltiorrhiza (redroot sage)
Lineage: Eukaryota; Viridiplantae; Streptophyta; Magnoliopsida; Lamiales; Lamiaceae
Description: long non-coding RNA (SMIL_LNC000254)
Source: RNAcentral
UCCCAUCUGUCCCUCUCUCUCCCUCGCGUACAUCGGACGGCAGACGACCAUGGAAGGCCGUCGCCACUGCUGCUCUGCUCUCGGCCGCGACCAGCGGCGCUUGGCCUUCGGCCGCGCCGCCCCGCUCAGCCGCCUCCCUUCUCCCUCGCGUUACCGGCAGCAGCGACCAAGGAGGGGCCGCUGCCUUGGCUUGCUAUGGCGGCGCACAAGUAGCCCCAAGGGGAACCCUUCCCUCUCUUCGACACUCACACUCAACAAAGCAAACAAAAGGAAAAAUUCUCAGAUUUGUAAAGAUUUGAUUUUUGGUGCAUUGGUCAAGGUAUUUCCUUAAUAGAAACAGUUGGGUAUUUGAAUUUUGUAUGUUAAUCUUUUGUUAUAACUGUUGGUGAUGUUUCCGUAAUAAGGAACAAAUAGAAGGAAAUAGAUGCUGUAUUAAAAUGAAAAUGCAUAGAUUUACAGAGAUAAUUGGGGUUACCAGCUGGAGUUCUGCAAUGAAAAGAGCAUAUUGAGUUUUGUGUGAAAGGAAUCGAGCCGAGAGCAAUUUUUGCUGGAUUCAGUCCACCAUUUUUCGGAAAGUGAAGAAAUAAACAUGAUGAAACAUAAUGAUACUUGACUGAGAAAUAGAAAGAGUUACUAUGUUGAUUGCUUCCUACUGCAGCUUGAGGAAGUGAUUCUGGCGGUGAAAUAGUGUAAGAAAAGUUGGGGUAAUUUAUGAAGGUGGAACGAUUGACGUGGUUGUAACAAAGCCAAAGCUUUUGCUUUUGGGAAUAGAAUAUCAAAUUUGUGAAAAUAUCAAGCAUAGUUAGACUUGGAGAGGAAGGAAAAUAUUUCAGUUUCUCACACUCAC